CAAGUAUACGCAGCUCAAGCAAGUAACAACACGUGUCCGUGUCUCUUAUCAUUUCUUUAUUAUUAGAGUAACUUAUAAGGUUAUGGGCCCAGAUUUCGCGUAAUGGCUAAUGCAAUAGUUACAAACAGUUUUAAGGACGUGAGCCAUUUACCAAAAUUCAAUGGCCAGAAUUUCACGGAAUGGAAAUAUGAAUUUCAAAACAUGAUGGAACAACUCGGCCUUAAGGCCUUGCUUGAAGCACCUCCCGGUGGUGUACUAGAUGCCAUCCCUUUGGAGACAAGAGUUGAUAACGCGGUCAC
Long non-coding RNA from Daphnia magna, 299 nucleotides. RefSeq lists it as uncharacterized. NCBI's taxonomy places the organism in Eukaryota, Metazoa, Arthropoda, Branchiopoda, Diplostraca, Daphniidae. The record is from RefSeq and is a predicted model, not a curated record. The transcript is spliced from 3 exons.